AACGAACGCUGGCGGCAUGCCUAACACAUGCAAGUCGAACGAUUGCCUUCGGGUGAUAGUGGCGCACGGGUGCGUAACGCGUGGGAAUCUUCCCUUAGGUUCGGAAUAACAGCUGGAAACGGCUGCUAAUACCGGAUGAUAUCGCGAGAUCAAAGAUUUAUCGCCUGAGGAUGAGCCCGCGUUGGAUUAGGUAGUUGGUGGGGUAAAGGCCUACCAAGCCGACGAUCCAUAGCUGGUCUGAGAGGAUGAUCAGCCACACUGGGACUGAGACACGGCCCAGAAUCCUACGGGAGGCAGCAGUGGGGAAUAUUGGACAAUGGGCGCAAGCCUGAACCAGCAAUGCCGCGUGAGUGAUGAAGGCCCUAGGGUUGUAAAGCUCUUUUACCCGGGAAGAGAAUGACUGUACCGGGAGAAUAAGCCCCGGCUAACUCCGUG
RNAcentral lists this ribosomal RNA (435 nucleotides) under uncultured bacterium. Its description in RNAcentral is "partial 16S ribosomal RNA". It matches the Rfam family "Bacterial small subunit ribosomal RNA", at positions 29 to 507 of the family's 1533-position model. The record is from RNAcentral.